Molecule: ribosomal RNA, 500 nt
Filed under: uncultured bacterium
Lineage: Bacteria
Description: partial 16S ribosomal RNA
Rfam family: Bacterial small subunit ribosomal RNA
Source: RNAcentral
AUUGAACGCUGGCGGAAUGCUUUUCACAUGCAAGUCGAACGGCAGCACGGACUUCGGUCUGGUGGCGAGUGGCGAACGGGUGAGUAACAUAUCGGAACGCAUCCAAUAAUGGGGGAUAACUAAUCGAAAGGUUGGCUAAUACCGCAUACGCCCUACGGGGGAAAGCAGGGGAUCUUCGGACCUUGCGAUAAUGGAGCGGCUGAUAUCUAAUUAGCUAGUUGGUGAGGUAAAGGCUCACCAAGGCGACGAUCAGUAGCUGGUCUGAGAGGACGGCCAGCCACACUGGAACUGGGACACGGUCCAGACUACUACGGGGGGCAGCAGUGGGGAAUUUUGGACAAUGGGCGCAAGCCUGCUCCAGCCAUUCCGCGUGAGUGAAGAAGGCCUUCGGGUUGUAUAGCUCUUUCGCAAGGGAAGAAAACUUACGUUCUAAUAAAGAGUGAGGUUGACGGUACCUUGAUAAGAAGCACCGGCUAACUACGUGCCAGCCGCCGCCGUAA